GAUGAACGCUGGCGGCGUGCUUAACACAUGCAAGUCGAACGAUGAAGCCCAGCUUGCUGGGUGGAUUAGUGGCGAACGGGUGAGUAACACGUGAGUAACCUGCCCUUAACUCUGGGAUAAGCCUGGGAAACUGGGUCUAAUACCGGAUAGGAGCGUCCACCGCAUGGUGGGUGUUGGAAAGAUUUAUCGGUUUUGGAUGGACUCGCGGCCUAUCAGCUUGUUGGUGAGGUAAUGGCUCACCAAGGCGACGACGGGUAGCCGGCCUGAGAGGGUGACCGGCCACACGGGACUGAGACACGGCCCAGACUCCUACGGGAGGCAGCAGUGGGGAAUAUUGCACAAUGGGCGCAAGCCUGAUGCAGCGACGCCGCGUGAGGGAUGACGGCCUUCGGGUUGUAAACCUCUUUCAGUAGGGAAGAAGCGAAAGUGACGGUACCUGCAGAAGAAGCACCGGCUAACUACGUG
This 465-nucleotide ribosomal RNA is filed under the name uncultured bacterium. RNAcentral's name for it is "partial 16S ribosomal RNA". It matches the Rfam family "Bacterial small subunit ribosomal RNA", at positions 28 to 507 of the family's 1533-position model. The record is from RNAcentral.